ACCUGGCUGGCUUAGUUGGUAGAGCAUGUGACUCUUGAUCUCAGGGUUGUGAGUUCAAGCCCAUGUUGGGCA
This 72-nucleotide transfer RNA is filed under the name Canis lupus familiaris (dog). It matches the Rfam family "tRNA". From Rfam's summary of the family: Transfer RNA (tRNA) molecules are approximately 80 nucleotides in length. Their secondary structure includes four short double-helical elements and three loops (D, anti-codon, and T loops). Lineage: Eukaryota; Metazoa; Chordata; Mammalia; Carnivora; Canidae. The record is from Rfam by way of RNAcentral. RNAcentral also lists the same sequence under 2 other names.